AGCAGCCGCGGUAAUUCCAGCUCCAAUAGCGUAUAUUAAAGUUGUUGUGGUUAAAAAGCUCGUAGUUGAACCUUGGGCCUGGCUGGCCGGUCCGCCUCACCGCGUGUACUGGUCCGGCCGGGCCUUUCCCUCUGUGGAACCCCCAUGCCCUUCACUGGGUGUGGUGGGGAAACAGGACUUUUACUGUGAAAAAAUUAGAGUGCUCCAGGCAGGCCUAUGCUCGAAUACAUUAGCAUGGAAUAAUAGAAUAGGACGUGUGGUUCUAUUUUGUUGGUUUCUAGGACCGCCGUAAUGAUUAAUAGGGACAGUCGGGGGCAUCAGUAUUCAAUUGUCAGAGGUGAAAUUCUUGGAUUUAUUGAAGACUAACUACUGCGAAAGCAUUUGCCAAGGAUGUUUUCAUUAAUCAGGAACGAAAGUUAGGGGAUCGAAGACGAUCAGAUACCGUCGUAGUCUUAACCAUAAACUAUGCCGACUAGGGAUCGGACGG
This 487-nucleotide ribosomal RNA is filed under the name uncultured Paraglomus. RNAcentral describes it as "SSU rRNA". It matches the Rfam family "Eukaryotic small subunit ribosomal RNA", at positions 569 to 1060 of the family's 1831-position model. The record is from RNAcentral. Lineage: Eukaryota; Fungi; Glomeromycota; Glomeromycetes; Paraglomerales; Paraglomeraceae.